RNAcentral lists this ribosomal RNA (635 nucleotides) under unidentified archaeon. RNAcentral describes it as "bacterial SSU rRNA". It matches the Rfam family "Archaeal small subunit ribosomal RNA", at positions 421 to 1054 of the family's 1478-position model. The record is from RNAcentral.
AAAAGCAUUUCAUAGCAAGGGCCGGGCAAGACCCGGUGCCAGCCGCCGCGGUAACACCGGCGGCUCGAGUGGUAACCGUUAUUAUUGGGUCUAAAGGGUCUGUAGCCGGCCGGAUAAGUCUCUUGAGAAAUCUGGCAGCUUAACUGUCAGGCUUUCAGGAGAUACUGUCUGGCUCGAGGCCGGGAGAGGUGAGAGGUACUUCAGGGGUAGGGGUGAAAUCUUGUAAUCCUUGAAGGACCACCAGUGGCGAAGGCGUCUCACCAGAACGGACCUGACGGCAAGGGACGAAAGCUAGGGGCACGAACCGGAUUAGAUACCCGGGUAGUCCUAGCCGUAAACGAUACUCGCUAGGUGUCGGCCACGGUGCGACCGUUGUCGGUGUCGUAGGGAAGCCGUGAAGCGAGCCACCUGGGAAGUACGGCCGCAAGGCUGAAACUUAAAGGAAUUGGCGGGGGAGCACCACAACGGGUGGAGCUUGCGGUUUAAUUGGAUUCAACGCCGGAAAUCUUACCGGGACCGACAGCAAUAUGAAGGCCAGGCUGAAGACUUUGCCGGAUUAGCUGAGAGGUGGUGCAUGGCCGUCGUCAGUUCGUACUGUGAAGCGUCCUGUUAAGUCAGGUAACGAGCGAGACCCA